AACGAACGCUGGCGGCGCGCCUAAUACAUGCAAGUCGAGCGAGAAGACGUAGCAAUACGUUUGUAAAGCGGCGAACGGGUGAGGAAUACAUGGGUAACCUACCCUCGAGUGGGGAAUAACUAGCCGAAAGGUUAGCUAAUACCGCGUACGCUCCUUGGACUUCGGUUCAGGGAGGAAAGCGAUACCGUGGGUAUCGCGCUCUUGGAUGGGCUCAUGUCCUAUCAGCUUGUUGGUGAGGUAACGGCUCACCAAGGCUUCGACGGGUAGCUGGUCUGAGAGGACAAUCAGCCACACUGGCACUGCGACACGGGCCAGACUCCUACGGGAGGCAGCAGUAAGGAAUAUUGCGCAAGUGGGCGAAAGCCUGACGCAGCGACGCCGC
This 382-nucleotide ribosomal RNA is filed under the name uncultured bacterium. RNAcentral describes it as "bacterial SSU rRNA". It matches the Rfam family "Bacterial small subunit ribosomal RNA", at positions 29 to 400 of the family's 1533-position model. The record is from RNAcentral.